UAAGGAAUAUUGGACAAUGGUCGCAAGACUGAUCCAGCCAUGCCGCGUGCAGGAAGACGGCCCUAUGGGUUGUAAACUGCUUUUGUACCAGAGAAAACCUAUCUACGUGUAGAUAGCUGAUAGUAUGGUAAGAAUAAGCAUCGGCUAACUUCGUGCCAGCAGCCGCGGUAAGACGAAGGAUGCAAGCGUUAUCCGGAUUCACUGGGUUUAAAGGGUGCGUAGGCGGAUAUGUAAGUCAGUGGUGAAAUCAACGGGCUCAACCUGUUAACUGCCAUUGAUACUGUGGAGCUUGAAUAUGAGAGAGGUAGGCGGAAUGUUGCAUGUAGCGGUGAAAUGCUUAGAUAUGCUACGGAACACCGAUUGCGAAGGCAGCUUACUAUUUCGUAAUUGACGCUGAGGCACGAAAGCGUGGGUAGCGAACA
This 422-nucleotide ribosomal RNA is filed under the name uncultured bacterium. RNAcentral's name for it is "bacterial SSU rRNA". It matches the Rfam family "Bacterial small subunit ribosomal RNA", at positions 355 to 774 of the family's 1533-position model. The record is from RNAcentral.